Molecule: long non-coding RNA, 1765 nt
Filed under: Homo sapiens (human)
Lineage: Eukaryota; Metazoa; Chordata; Mammalia; Primates; Hominidae
Description: HSALNT0315649
Source: RNAcentral
GACCUGGGGUCCCUGCUUCUCCAGGUGCUCCCGGAUUUUGCUCUCUAGCCUCCGGUUCUCGGUCUCCAGGCUCCUCACUCUGUCCAGAUGUGGGCCACCAGCCUUAAGCCAGAGGGAGCUUUGUAAGACAGGAACAUAUAAAAUGAUAAAAGCUUCUCUACGUACAGUUUUCCUGACUCUGAUUCUGCGUGGGACAACCAGUGAAAAUUGCAGGUGAAGAGAAGAAAUGCGUAUUUAUUCCUCCACUGGGAAAAAAAAUACCAUCCAAAGCUACAUGACUUGAGAGACAAGGUCUCACUAUGUUGCCCAGGCUGGCCUCGAACUCCCGGGCUUCAGCAGUCCUCCCGCCUCACCCUCCGAUGUAGCUAGGACUACAGGACCGCGACCCGGCGCUGCCUAAGAACUGUUUUUAAACGUGAAAGCCACGGCUAUCAUUUGCUUUUUGCUCUGCUCUUCAUCUUCUGGAUAAACCUCGUAACACACUGCUUGUUUUGGGUGGUAGUCUGCUGCCUACGCCCCGUCAGACAAGUGGCCUGAGUCCCCCGCAACCCCUGCAGGUCCGGCCGCCGGCGCCAAGCCUCAAGGCAUCCAAGCCAGGAACGAUCGCGGUCAGCUCUGCCACGGAACAUGUGCAAGACCCGGCAGCAGGUUCCGGGGGAGGCGAAUUGAUUUCACAACGGUCGAGAAGGAGGACCCCGCCCACUUCGUCAUUUCUCGGAAGCCCAGGGACUCGCCGGAAGAGCGGCUCAAAAGCCGGAAAACUGGCAAAUCCGAGUCUCCCGGCGCAUGCGCGGCGCAAUCGGCUUCGCGUGGUUGCAGUAGAGAGGAUCCCUCCGCCAGCCACUGCAUCCGGCGGCCGGAUCUAACUUACCCGCUAGCGUUUUACCCUUGCGCGGCCGUGGCGUAGGGCGGUCUUUUCCCUUGGUCCUCCGCGGCGCCGCCUCUUGUGACGUAAGCCGCAGAAUCCUCUGUCUUAGUUCGGCUCUAUUGCCGCGAGCUUGACUCUUCCUGGGUCUGAGGAAAAGUAAAAGUAAUUUUGUCAUUUCCUGAAACUUCAAGUUAAACCUUUAAGCUGUUCAUUUCCUAAAAGGGUGAAAACGCGGGCACCCCUCGAGCUAGUUCAUCGCCUUUUAACCUGUUGUUGGAUCUUUCCAGAUCACCACACCACAUCACCCAGCCACUCUGCCCAAUGGGAGGGCAGACAGUGUUCCAGUGUAGGAGGAAGGGGUGUAAGGUGCGGGCAGUUUGUGAGGAGGGCACCAACGAGAGCUACUGUGAGAAAGUCUGCAUGGUCAAAAAGUGGAUUACCAAGAACAAAGCAUCAUAAUGUUGUCCAGUGGACCCCAGGUUACAAUUUGGUUUGACUUUGAAACAAAAAGUUAUCAUGUACACAGAAAAGCACAGAAGCAGAGGAGUGGAAUGAAGUGUGAUAUUAGUGAACGAAAGAGCCAACAUUGAAGUGACCACAGUUCCAUAUGGUCUUGCAAAGCAACCACUGAAUGUUUUGCCUAAAAAGGAAGACAUCAACAUUGGUGGAAGGUACCUGAAAGCCAGAGCUAAAAGAGCCUAUUGAAACAAUCACUACAUGGCAGCCUGUGGGACAUGGAGCUGGGCAGGAGAGAUGGAAAACAGAAGCGAUCAGGCACUGAUUAUAUGUCAAAUUCAACAAAGUUCAGAUAUACGAGGGAACUUCAAAAGUUCAUGAAAAAAAUGGAAUUAGAAGAUAAAAAUAAAAAGUGGAAACUGUAUUUCUCAACAUAAACUC